GUCCCCCAGCUCUGCACGCCGUGCACUGAUUUGUCGCGGCGAUCGUGUCAGUGUGAGCAGGUGCAGAGCUGCAGGAC
Molecule: microRNA precursor, 77 nt
Organism: Gallus gallus (chicken)
Lineage: Eukaryota; Metazoa; Chordata; Aves; Galliformes; Phasianidae
Source: Ensembl